This 1048-nucleotide ribosomal RNA is filed under the name uncultured archaeon. RNAcentral describes it as "bacterial SSU rRNA". It matches the Rfam family "Archaeal small subunit ribosomal RNA", at positions 1 to 1054 of the family's 1478-position model. The record is from RNAcentral.
UCUGGUUGAUCCCGCCGGAGGUUACUGCUAUCGAGGUUCGACUAAGCCAUGCGAGUCGAAUGUAGCAAUACAUGGCGUACUGCUCAGUAACACGUGGACAACCUACCCUGAGGUCGGGGAUAAACCCGGGAAACUGGGUAUAAUACCCGAUAGAUCUAGAUUGCUGGAAUGCUUUUAGGUCUAAAGUUCCGACGCCUCAGGAUGGGUCUGCGGCCUAUCAGGGUAGUAGUGGGUGUAAAGUACCUACUAGCCUACGACGGGUACGGGUUGUGAGAGCAAGAGCCCGGAGAUGGAUUCUGAGACACGAAUCCAGGCCCUACGGGGUGCAGCAGGCGCGAAACCUUUACAAUGCUGGCAACAGCGAUAAGGGGACCUCGAGUGCUACGAUACAAUCGUGGCUGUCUAGUUGCCUAAAAAGCAAUUGAUAGCAAGGGCCGGGCAAGACCGGUGCCAGCCGCCGCGGUAACACCGGCGGCUCGAGUGGUAACCGCUAUUAUUGGGUCUAAAGGGUCUGUAGCCGGCUUAGUUAGUCUCUUGAGAAAUCUGGCCGCUCAACGGUCAGGCGUUCAGGGGAUACUGCUAAAGCUCGAGACCGGGAGAGGUGAGAGGUACUUCAGGGGUAGGGGUGAAAUCUUGUAAUCCUUGAAGGACCACCAGUGGCGAAGGCGUCUCACCAGAACGGAUCUGACGGCAAGGGACGAAAGCUAGGGGCACGAACCGGAUUAGAUACCCGGGUAGUCCUAGCCGUAAACGAUACUCGCUAGGUGUCGGCCACGGUGCGACCGUGGUCGGUGCCGUAGGGAAGCCGUGAAGCGAGCCACCUGGGAAGUACGGCCGCAAGGCUGAAACUUAAAGGAAUUGGCGGGGGAGCACUACAACGGGUGGAGCUUGCGGUUUAAUUGGAUUCAACGCCGGAAAUCUUACCGGGGCCGACAGCGAUAUGAAGGCCAGGCUAAGGACCUUGCCUGAUUAGCUGAGAGGUGGUGCAUGGCCGUCGUCAGUUCGUACUGUGAAGCAUCCUGUUAAGUCAGGCAACGAGCGAGACCCA